RNAcentral lists this RNase P RNA (440 nucleotides) under uncultured Rikenella sp. Its description in RNAcentral is "Bacterial RNase P class A". It matches the Rfam family "Bacterial RNase P class A". From Rfam's summary of the family: Ribonuclease P (RNase P) is a ubiquitous endoribonuclease, found in archaea, bacteria and eukarya as well as chloroplasts and mitochondria. Its best characterised activity is the generation of mature 5'-ends of tRNAs by cleaving the 5'-leader elements of precursor-tRNAs. Cellular RNase Ps are ribonucleoproteins. The record is from RNAcentral. Lineage: Bacteria; Pseudomonadati; Bacteroidota; Bacteroidia; Bacteroidales; Rikenellaceae.
CCACGGGCGAACCGGGAGGGGAGGAAAGUCCGGGCAACACAGGGCACCGCACUGGUGAAACUGCCAGACGGGCGUAAGUUCGUGCCACCGUAACAGAGAACAACCGCCGCAGCUGAGCGCCUCGCCCUCCACGGGUGAGACCGGCCAGGCAAGGGUGAAAAGGUGGUGUAAGAGACCACCGGUGCCGGCAGCAAUGUCGGCAGCCGUACGGACUGCGGGUUGCAAGACCAUGUACACCGAUGCUGCUCUGCGCAAGGGUUUCGAUCCGGGCGCGGGGCUGAAGGGCGGCCCGUCCGAGUCGGGGGGUAGGUUGCUGACGAUCCGGCGGGAGACCGUCGGGCUGGAUAAAUGGCAGAGGCUUGAAGGGGGGACAGGUUGUUUCGGUUCUCCGGAGCAGGAACGACACCCCUCUAAAAGUACAGAACCCGGCUUAUACCCUU